AAGGUAGCGAAAUUCCUUGUCGGGUAAGUUCCGACCCGCACGAAUGGUGUAACGAUCUGGGCACUGUCUCAACUACCCACCCGGCGAAAUUGUAGUACCGGUGAAGAUGCCGGUUACCUGCGGCAAGACGGAAAGACCCCAUGGAGCUUUACUGUAGCCUGAUAUUGGGUUUCGGAAAUCUAUGUACAGGAUAGGCGGGAGACUUGGAAACAUGAGCGUCAGCUUGUGUGGAGUCGAUGUUGGGAUACCGCCCUUAGGUUUCUGGAAUUCUAACCUGCGGCCGUGAAUCCGGUCGGGGGACAUUGUCAGGUGGGCAGUUUGACUGGGGCGGUCGCCUCCGAAAAGGUAACGGAGGCGCUCAAAGGUUAGCUCAGCACGGACGGAAACCGUGCCUCUGAGUGUAAACGCAAAAGCUAGCCUAACUGCGAGGGUGACGGCCCGAGCAGUAACGAAAGUUGGAGUUAGUGAUCCGGCGGUAUGUGAAUGGAAAUGCCGUCGCUCAACGGAUAAAAGCUACCCUGGGGAUAACAGGCUGAUCUCCCCCAAGAGUCCACAUCGACGGGGAGGUUUGGCACCUCGAUGUCGGCUCAUCACAUCCUGGGGCUGUAUUCGGUCCCAAGGGUUCGGCUGUUCGCCGAUUAAAGUGGUACGCGAGCUGGGUUCAGAACGUCGCGAGACAGUUCGGUCCCUAUCUGUCGUGGGCGCAGGAUAUUUGAGGAGCUCUGUCCUUAGUACGAGAGGACCGGGAUGGACGUACCUCUGGUGCACCAGUUGUCAUGCCAAUGGCACGGCUGGGCAGCUAUGUACGGAACGGAUAAACGCUGAAAGCAUCUAAGCGUGAAGCCGACUCCAAGAUUAGAUAUCCCAUCGUAUAACGAGUAAGACCCCUUGAAGACUACGAGGUUGAUAGGCUGCGUGUGUAAGUGCCGUGAGGCAUUCAGCUUGGCAGUACUAAUAGGUCGAGGGCUUGACCAC
This 975-nucleotide ribosomal RNA is filed under the name human gut metagenome. Its description in RNAcentral is "bacterial LSU rRNA". It matches the Rfam family "Bacterial large subunit ribosomal RNA", at positions 1953 to 2925 of the family's 2925-position model. The record is from RNAcentral.